Molecule: ribosomal RNA, 274 nt
Filed under: uncultured bacterium
Lineage: Bacteria
Description: partial 16S ribosomal RNA
Rfam family: Bacterial small subunit ribosomal RNA
Source: RNAcentral
AUACGGAGGGUGCAAGCGUUGUCCGGAUUUAUUGGGCGUAAAGAGCAUGUAGGCGGACUGUUAAGUCUGGUGUGAAAGCCCGGGGCUCAACCCCGGAAGUGCAUUGGAUACUGGCAGUCUCGAGUAUGGGAGAGGAAAGUGGAAUUCCGAGUGUAGGAGUGAAAUCCGUAGAUAUUCGGAGGAACACCAGUGGCGAAGGCGGCUUUCUGGACCAAUACUGACGCUGAGAUGCGAAAGCGUGGGGAGCGAACAGGAUUAGAAACCCUAGUAGUCC